Molecule: ribosomal RNA, 477 nt
Filed under: uncultured bacterium
Lineage: Bacteria
Description: partial 16S ribosomal RNA
Rfam family: Bacterial small subunit ribosomal RNA
Source: RNAcentral
GAUAAACGCUGGCGGCGUGCAUAACACAUGCAAGUCGAACGAUGAAGAUUAACAGUUUUCUUCUGCAUGAAUUUCAUUGGGUUAGUUGCGGCCUGGUUAGUAACGCGUGAGUAACCUGCCUUGUACAAGGGGAUAGCCCUUGGAACCGACGAAUAAUACCCUAUGACAUCAAAUAAUCGCAUGUUACUUUGAUCAACGAUUUAUCGGUAUAAGAUGGACUCGCGUCUGAUUAGCUAGCUGGUAGAGUAAAAGACUACCAAGGCAACGAUCAGUAGCCGGCGGGAGAGAGGGUACAGUGACAUUGAGACAGAGACAAGACCCAGACGGCUACGAGAAGCAGCAAAGAGGAAUUAUGCACAAUGAGCGAAAUCCAGAAGCAGCGAGGCCGCGAGAUUUAGAAGGCCUUCGGGUUGUAAAAAUCUUUUGUAUGAAGAGAAAAUGACAGUACCAGACGAAUAAGGACCGGCUAAUUACGUG